CAUGAUGACUAUGCAGUGACA
This 21-nucleotide microRNA is filed under the name Marchantia polymorpha subsp. ruderalis. The record is from RNAcentral. Lineage: Eukaryota; Viridiplantae; Streptophyta; Marchantiopsida; Marchantiales; Marchantiaceae.